UACAGAGGUCUCAAGCGUUGUUCGGAUUCACUGGGCGUAAAGGGUGUGUAGGAGGUCGGGUAAGUCAGCUGUGAAAUACUUGCGCUUAACGUGAGAACUGCAGUUGAUACUGCCUGGCUAGAAGAUCGGAGGGGCGAGCGGAAUUCUCGGUGUAGCAGUGAAAUGCGUAGAUAUCGAGAGGAACACCAGUGGCGUAGGCGGCUCGCUAGACGGUUCUUGUCUCUGAAACACGAAAGCUAGGGGCGCACACGCG
RNAcentral lists this ribosomal RNA (253 nucleotides) under uncultured bacterium. Its description in RNAcentral is "partial 16S ribosomal RNA". It matches the Rfam family "Bacterial small subunit ribosomal RNA", at positions 524 to 776 of the family's 1533-position model. The record is from RNAcentral.